RNAcentral lists this ribosomal RNA (432 nucleotides) under uncultured bacterium. Its description in RNAcentral is "partial 16S ribosomal RNA". It matches the Rfam family "Bacterial small subunit ribosomal RNA", at positions 29 to 506 of the family's 1533-position model. The record is from RNAcentral.
AACGAACGCUGGCGGCAUGCCUAACACAUGCAAGUCGAACGAGAACUUCGGGUCUUGUGGCGCUCGGGUGCGUACCGCGUGGGAACCUGCCCUUAGGUUCGGAAUAACUCCCCGAGAGGGGUGUUCAUACCGGUUAAUCUCUUCCGACCAAAGAUUUCUUGCUUCUGGAUGGGCCCGCGUAGGUUUCGGCGGUUGGUAGGGUAAAAGCCUACCAAGGCGAUGAUCCAGAGCUGGUCGGAGAGGAGGAUCAGCAACACUGGGACUGAGACACGGCCCAGACUCGUGCGAGAGGCAGCAGAGGGGACUAUAGGACAGUGGGCGAAAGCCUGAUCCAGCGAGGCCGCGAGAGUGAUGAAGGCCUUAGGGUUGUAAAGCUCUUUUACCCGGGAUGAUAAUGACAGUACCGGGAGAAUAAGCUCCGGCUAACUCCGU